Molecule: ribosomal RNA, 429 nt
Filed under: Pseudomonadota bacterium
Lineage: Bacteria; Pseudomonadati; Pseudomonadota
Description: Proteobacteria bacterium partial 16S ribosomal RNA
Rfam family: Bacterial small subunit ribosomal RNA
Source: RNAcentral
UGGGGAAUAUUGGACAAUGGGCGAAAGCCUGAUCCAGCCAUGCCGCGUGUGUGAAGAAGGUCUUCGGAUUGUAAAGCACUUUAAGUUGGGAGGAAGGGCAGUAAGCGAAUACCUUGCUGUUUUGACGUUACCGACAGAAUAAGCACCGGCUAACUCUGUGCCAGCAGCCGCGGUAAUACAGUGGGUGCAAGCGUUAAUCGGCAUUACUGGGCGUAAAGCGCGCGUAGGUGGUUCGUUAAGUUGAAUGUGAAAGCCACGGGCUCAACCUGGGAACUGCAGCCAAAACCGGCGAGCUAGAGUAGGGCAGAGGGUGGUGGAAUUUCCUGUGUAGCGGUGAAAUGCGUAGAUAUAGGAAGGAAGACCAGUGGCGAAGGCGACAACCUGGGCUAAUACUGACACUGAGGUGCGAAAGCGUGGGGAGCAAACAGG